GCGUAACGGAGGAGUACGAAGGUACGCUAGGUACGGUCGGAAAUCGUGCUGAUAGUGCAAUGGCAUAAGCGUGCUUAACUGCGAGACCGACAAGUCGAGCAGGUGCGAAAGCAGGUCAUAGUGAUCCGGUGGUUCUGUAUGGAAGGGCCAUCGCUCAACGGAUAAAAGGUACUCUGGGGAUAACAGGCUGAUACCGCCCAAGAGUUCAUAUCGACGGCGGUGUUUGGCACCUCGAUGUCGGCUCAUCUCAUCCUGGGGCUGUAGCCGGUCCCAAGGGUAUGGCUGUUCGCCAUUUAAAGAGGUACGUGAGCUGGGUUUAAAACGUCGUGAGACAGUUUGGUCCCUAUCUGCCGUGGGCGUUGGAUAUUUGAAGGGGGCUGCUCCUAGUACGAGAGGACCGGAGUGGACGAACCUCUGGUGUGCCGGUUGUCACGCCAGUGGCAUCGCCGGGUAGCUAUGUUCGGAAGAGAUAACCGCUGAAAGCAUCUAAGCGGGAAACUCGCCUUAAGAUGAGAUAUCCCUGGGGACUAGAUCCCCUUGAAGGGUCGUUCGAGACCAGGACGUUGAUAGGUCAGGUGUGUAAGCGCAGUAAUGCGUUCAGCUAACUGAUACUAAUUGCCCGUAAGGCUUGAUCCUAUAACA
Molecule: ribosomal RNA, 642 nt
Filed under: Burkholderia cenocepacia
Lineage: Bacteria; Pseudomonadati; Pseudomonadota; Betaproteobacteria; Burkholderiales; Burkholderiaceae
Description: bacterial LSU rRNA
Rfam family: Bacterial large subunit ribosomal RNA
Source: RNAcentral